This 73-nucleotide transfer RNA is filed under the name Chloroflexota bacterium. RNAcentral's name for it is "tRNA-Ala". It matches the Rfam family "tRNA". Rfam says of the family: Transfer RNA (tRNA) molecules are approximately 80 nucleotides in length. Their secondary structure includes four short double-helical elements and three loops (D, anti-codon, and T loops). Lineage: Bacteria; Bacillati; Chloroflexota. The record is from RNAcentral.
GGGCCUGUAGCUCAGUUGGGAGAGCACUACACUCGCACUGUAGGGGUCAGGAGUUCGAGUCUCCUUAGGUCCA